UGGGCGUUAAGUUGCAGGGUAUAGACCCGAAACCCGGUGAUCUAGCCAUGGGCAGGUUGAAGGUUGGGUAACACUAACUGGAGGACCGAACCGACUAAUGUUGAAAAAUUAGCGGAUGACCUGUGGCUGGGGGUGAAAGGCCAAUCAAACCGGGAGAUAGCUGGUUCUCCCCGAAAGCUAUUUAGGUAGCGCCUCGUGAAUUCAUCUCCGGGGGUAGAGCACUGUUUCGGCUAGGGGGCCAUCCCGGCUUACCAACCCGAUGCAAACUGCGAAUACCGGAGAAUGUUAUCACGGGAGACACACGGCGGGUGCUAACGUCCGUCGUGAAGAGGGAAACAACCCAGACCGCCAGCUAAGGUCCCAAAGUCAUGGUUAAGUGGGAAACGAUGUGGGAAGGCCCAGACAGCCAGGAUGUUGGCUUAGAAGCAGCCAUCAUUUAAAGAAAGCGUAAUAGCUCACUGGUCGAGUCGGCCUGCGCGGAAGAUGUAACGGGGCUAAACCAUGCACCGAAGCUGCGGCAGCGAACGUAUCACCCAAGACAACUUUACGGAGUUGACGAUUGACGGAGCGAAGCGACGUCAAAGCGUUCAUUAAAGUCGAGUUGGCUUAGGGAUACGUUCGUUGGGUAGGGGAGCGUUCUGUAAGCCUGUGAAGGUGUGUCGUGAGGCAUGCUGGAGGUAUCAGAAGUGCGAAUGCUGACAUAAGUAACGAUAAAGCGGGUGAAAAGCCCGCUCGCCGGAAGACCAAGGGUUCCUGUCCAACGUUAAUCGGGGCAGGGUGAGUCGACCCCUAAGGCGAGGCCGAAAGGCGUAGUCGAUGGGAAACGGGUUAAUAUUCCCGUACUUGGUGUUACUGCGAAGGGGGGACGGAGAAGGCUAUGUUGGCCGGGCGACGGUUGUCCCGGUUUAAGCGUGUAGGUGUGUGUUCCAGGUAAAUCCGGUUCACUUUAACACUGAGGCGUGACGACGAGGCACUACGGUGCUGAAGCAACAAAUGCCCUGCUUCCAGGAAAAGCCUCUAAGCAU
RNAcentral lists this ribosomal RNA (1025 nucleotides) under Salmonella enterica. RNAcentral describes it as "partial 23S ribosomal RNA". It matches the Rfam family "Bacterial large subunit ribosomal RNA", at positions 689 to 1629 of the family's 2925-position model. Lineage: Bacteria; Pseudomonadati; Pseudomonadota; Gammaproteobacteria; Enterobacterales; Enterobacteriaceae. The record is from RNAcentral. RNAcentral also lists the same sequence under 1 other name.